CCUACGGGAGGCAGCAGUGAGGAAUAUUGGUCAAUGGCCGGAAGGCUGAACCAGCCAUGCCGCGUGACGGUCAGUGCCCUAUGGGCGUUAAACUUCUUUUGUGCGGGAGCAAUAAUGGUCACGUGUGGCCAGACGAGAGUACCGUACGAAUAAGCAUCGGCUAACUCCGUGCCAGCAGCCGCGGUAAUACGGGGGAUGCAAGCGUUAUCCGGAUUUAUUAGGUUUAAAGGGUGCGUAGGCUGUGAGGUAAGUCAGCGGUCAAAUGCCCACGCUCAACGGGGUGAAGUGCCAUGGAUAAUGCCUGGAUUGAAGGCGGAUGCCGUGGGAGGAAUGUGGGGUGUA
Molecule: ribosomal RNA, 342 nt
Filed under: uncultured bacterium
Lineage: Bacteria
Description: partial 16S ribosomal RNA
Rfam family: Bacterial small subunit ribosomal RNA
Source: RNAcentral